GCGGCUGAUCUGGUCGUGGCGAGAAGGGUCGAGCACAGCCUCCGAGCCAGCUUUUAUCAAAGUGUGAGCAGUGGUGGAGGUCUGGCUCGGCUGCUGAUUUGCUCUCUGCUGUUGCUGCCUACUGAUGUUCAAUUUACGUUAUAGGUGGACUGUGGAGCUGUGGACAGCUGCCGAUUUGUUCUUGGCAGGUUCAGCCCAUCGAUGUUCAUAACGGGUUCAAGGUUGUAAUACUUGGCAUUUGCUGAACCAUCAGACUGCCAACUACUGUGCAUGACUCAAAAUUCUCUUGUCUUGCCUCAGCUACUCAAAUGGAUCUUGAUUUCUCAUCAGAUCCCAUGUGCUGUAUCAAAUUAGUUGCCCCUUAAACAUAUCAGUGAGUAGUAGACCCUAAAUCAUGAAGAUUUCAGUCCUUUUCUAUGUCUAGGUUAAUACAACAUGGUGAUAUCUUAAGGGGUUGAGUGAAGUUCCAGAGCCCACAACCACAUCUUUUUCCAUAACAAUACCCAACAAAAGUUUAUUUUUUACCUUUUUACGUCUGUUCACUUGAAGAUGUUGAGCACUUCUGCAGAUGAGAAGCUCAUGAUGUUAAUCAGGAUUUUCUUACACAACCCUACCAAUCUUGUGCUUUACACUUUCAUAAGGGAUUGCUGAGUGGACCUCACUAUUUACCAAUCUGUACAUUUAGACACAACUUCAGCUUUGUACCUGUCCCAUUUCUCGAUUUUUGUUGAAGCUCAGUUUGGUUCUCUCUUCUAAUCUCCUACCUGGGUGGCAGAUUCUUUCUUUUUCUGGGUUAGAGGAGAAAUACCUUUAAACAGCAUGUCAUACUGAUUUAUUCUUGCUCAACCUACUUUAUUUUCCUCCUAUAUAUCAUGUGAGAUUUCAUGGUGAGAGCUCUUACACACACGUUUCCACAAAACUUUUUCCCUUUUUGUCAGACUUCAUCCUUUGCACACAAAAGAUAUCCAGUGAAGAUGGAGGACUGCUUGAUAUAUUUCUUUCUGUGGAAGAGUCUGGGAGCUGAAUGGUACUGAAGUAGCUCACUGUCAGACAGGAGUCAUCUAGGGAUCACAAAUGAUAAAAUGUCGUCAAAAGCAACGGAAAAACUGCAGAACCUGCGUGUGCUGGUGUUUUGGCAUCCUACAGAAGAGCUUUCCACAAGCAUGGCUGUGGGCACUAGUUAGCAAACAGGAGGCUGCCAACCCAGAAGUACGAAGCCAGUCACUUGUUUCAAGGUCAAGAAAGCCAGACUGCUGAUUUAGCUGCUUCUGUUUGUUUGUGAUAGGAGUCUUAUGACUGCUACCCAUCUGGAAAGAUUGUUCUGCACCGCUGGAUACACCGGUCACUUUCUAUGCAUGAUCACUUUUGCAGUUCUGGCAGUAUUGCUCCUCAGUCUUAGGAGCAUGAACUAAAUCAAUACCCUUCUGUGCUCCUCUGCCCAUGCCUUCCUUUAUGUUUUUUUCAAAUGUUCUUAGUACUUGUAUGAGCACUUGUCAAUGUAAGCAUCUAUUAGUAAAUUCCUAUAUCAGGACACGCUGGUACCAAGCGCCUUUGCUGAAAACUGGUGAUGUGGUUUGCUGCUUUGUUUGGUCCUUGAUGUUAGUUUUACUGUGGCAGGACAGUAUGUUUUAAAACAGAUUCAGAAAUCCUUUCUGUGAAUAAGGUUAAAUAAAAACAGAUCUUGAUAAGGAUGAAAGAACACUGCUUUUGCUUUCUGCCAAGAUAAGCAGUGCGUUAUUUCACUUGUGAGAAUUGCUAUUGGAUAUUUCAUGAUGGAUAUUCCCUCUUCUUGGCUUAAUUUAGCAUAAUUGUUGUGUUUAAUUCAUUUAAAUAUCAUGUUACUGAUUCUAAA
This is a long non-coding RNA of Numida meleagris (helmeted guineafowl), 1852 nucleotides long. RefSeq lists it as uncharacterized. The transcript has 2 exons. The record is from RefSeq and is a predicted model, not a curated record. Lineage: Eukaryota; Metazoa; Chordata; Aves; Galliformes; Numididae.